Non-coding RNA from Rattus norvegicus (Norway rat), 15414 nucleotides. The record is from RefSeq and is a predicted model, not a curated record. NCBI's taxonomy places the organism in Eukaryota, Metazoa, Chordata, Mammalia, Rodentia, Muridae.
CGCCAACAUUCAGGGGUGACGGUAAGCCAUGCUGCCCUUCCUUCUCCUUUGUCCCAACUCAGCUGUCAAUGCUCCCAUGCCCCCCACCCCCCCAGUGACUCUGAGCUGUGUUGUAAUAACUCUAUUCAAGUAAACGUUCUGGCAGGACUCUUGGGGAGGCUCUGACUGGGGCUCAAAUGCUCUGUCCCAAAGCAUGGGGAAUACUGAGAUGUUGGGGAAAUGGGUUGGCUCAGCAGAACCACGUGCUUCAGGUUUCUGAGGAAGUAGGGUCUGACGGGGACUGAGGCUCUUGUGGAACCAGUGAGCGUGGCCCAGGUGGCACAACACUGCUGAAUUGCAGUGAUGAGUACACCUGGCUCUCGGCCUCCAUUGGAAGGGCCAUCCGGGAGGAGCUACUGGCAGAGGUGUCUUCUGCCCUGAUGAUCUUUGAGGGGGCUCUACACUGUGCAACGUCCCUUUUCCGAAUUCUCCAUUAGAGUAAAACUAUAUUUAUACACUGCGCACUAAAGCUGAGCAGAGAUUCGAUGUCACUUAAAUUAAUGUUAGCAACUACUUGGCCCCGCUCUCCUUUCGCAGGUGAGGAAAGCUUAGAAUCCUCUCAAAUAUAAUUGGGAGAAAGAAAUAGGCAAAGCCCUCCUUUGUGCCCGUGCUCGCAGGCCUGACUGUUCAUUACGACGAAGGGAAACAUGAUCCUGACGAUGACCACGGGAGAAAACGGGCUAAGAAGCGACCGCAGGCAGGCGAGGACCUUCGGUCCCCUUCCCAGGCCUGUGGACCGGCCCUAACUGUGCAAGCUAGUGACGGCCCUAAUAGUCCUCAAAUUCCCCAACCUGCAAUACGGGGAUUGCAGGAGCUAAAAAUAGAGCCGUGAAGAGCUCCGGGGUAAUGACUGCAGCCUGCCUUUUCCCUGCUCGGAGCUAAAUAGUUCCACUUCCGCUAGCAAUUUUUCUAAGGCUAUAUCCGCCAGCAGUCUAAUCGACUGUGAGGCUGCGGAUUACCCGCCCCGAGACUUCCCUCUUCUCUCGCAUUGUGGGUCCAGAGCGCAACCCAGUCCUGGAUCUGUCAGAAUCGAGGCUGGAUAAUGGGGAGGAAGCAGGCGCGUUCCUGAAGAGACGACCGUCUCCAGUGGAAUAGAGUUUCAACAUAUCUCAGAGAAAGCCUUCUUCUCAUCAGGCAAGAGUGAACAGGGGCACAGCAUGAGUGUGUAUCUGUCUGUCUGUCCUCCACAGACACUUUACUGUAGCUUAAUCGCUGUGACCUGCCAACAUCCCAGGAGCGCCUGCUCUUGUAGCUGUGGAAGCUGUCGAGUAGAUUUCCCUUAUUGUAGAAGAACUACGCUUCCCUUAACUUCACACAGCAGCUGGUGCUCUGUCAGGGGUUCUGCCUUUGAGGAACUGCUCUUCCUAGAGGCGAGAAAGUCUCCUAGACAAGUGACAGAUGGGACUGAGGAAAUGCCCUUCAGGAUGGAUUGUUCUUUGACCCUCUCUUCCCGGGUGGACUUCCUGUUGUCUUGAAACCUGCAGGCCCAAGUGAUCUGAAGGAGGGAACCAACCGCAAGGGGCCUCUUGGGUGCCUUCACUCUGAGUGAUAUCACAGGUGGGCCCAGGGGCAAACCCCUAGAUAUACAGUCGGUCUUCCAUUCUCCUCCCCUCCCCCAGUCAGCUCUCUCCGUUGCUACAGCUUUCCACAAGUCCAGAGGCUUUCCAGCUUCCUGCCUCCUUCUUUUCCAAGGCACUGACCUCUCUUCAGUCACCCUUACCCAUCAGUUCUGUGUCUGUCUAGAAAUCUCCCAGGCCAUGGCUUACUUCCUAUCUAGAAAGUGCUGAGUAAGAUCAGGCCCAGUGAAGGCUUCUCCACACCUCUGCCCCAGUUUGCAAAGUGACAGCUCACCGGAAAGGUCAAAUCUGAGCUUGUGAGUUUCUUUCUCCAAACUCCCUUCCUGCCUGGAGGGAGUCAAUCCAGGGCCAUUUCUACACUGCCUUGGGCUGCUCUCCAGCUCAGCUCACUCGGAGCUGGGUCAUCUGGCCUUUGGGCCCAUCUAUUUUCAAGCCCUGAAGAAGAGAUAAACUGACAGCCAAAAUAUUAAUAUUUGAGGCCGCCGUGGACCGACUGCUUCAUAAAUACUGCUGAGUCGGGGGUUUAUACCAUCCCUUAGCUUCUCUGGCUUAUGGGAGUGCAGGUGACUUGGUGUGCGGCCCAUGACCUGUCCCUCACAUAGCAGUCAAGUAGCGCAUGAGGGAAGUGCUUAAAUAGCCUUGUGCCUUUUGAAUAUAUCUCUCUCAUCUCAUCCCUCCUCCACCCCCCACCAACCCACACAGCCAACUCGGGCUCCUCCUGAAGCCUGUAGAUCCUUCCAGAUGGUUACAUCUCUCAGAAGCAAAAGGAACGUACAUCUCAGCCUGCCUGUGUACAUGCACAUGUCCCCACAGCUUAUUGUCUGAAAGCAGUCUGUAUUACGGCUGACUCCUAUUUGAGGGGGGAAAAAAUCCAAAUUAGUAACUAAGUACUGUUUUUACUCUGCCACUCUUGGAAAGGAAACGUGGAGCCCGUCCACCUCUAGCUACAAUCCAGCCUGGCUAGGCCCUAUCGGUGGCAGAGUUUUUCUUGUCUCUCAAAAGACAGAAGGGGUGCCUCCCCUGGGUUAGUCAGUAGAUGCAGUUAAAGCUGCAUCAGUGUGUAACAACAGACACGUCCCGCUGCCCUCUCACAUGUGAGAAGCCAUCUGCUGAGAACUGGCAUGAGGGCCCUCAGUACAGUGCGGUCACGCUUCAGUCUGAGCCUGAGCCCAACAGCUGACUUUGGCUCCAGACACAUCCCCCAACUGCCAUCACCAGCCUGGAUUUUCAGUCACUUAGAAAGUGCAACAGUGUGAUUUAGGGAGGUCCUGGGGUCCUGAGGUUGGGCCUCAUCUAAAUCUGUGCACCCUCCCCCAGGCAGGCUCCCUGGAGAAAGCCCACUGUCUUAGGGUUUCUAUUCCUGCACAAACAUCAUGACCAAGAAGCAAGUUGGGGAGGAAAGGGUUUAUUCAGCUUACACUUCCACAUUGCUGUUCAUCACCAAAGGAAGUCAGGACUGGAGCUCAAGCAGGUCAGGAAGCAGGAGCUGAUGCAGAGGCCAUGGAGGGAUGUUACUUACUGGCUUUCUUCCCCUGGCUUGCUCAGCUUGCUUUCUUAUAGAAUCCAGGACCACCAGCCCAGGGAUGGUACCACCACCAUGGGCUGGGCCCUCCCUCUUGAUCACUAAUUGAGAAAAUGCCUUACAGCUGGGUCUCAUGGAGGCAUUUCCUCAAGGGAGGCUCCUUCCUCUGUGACAACUCCAGCUUGGGUCAAGCUGACACACAAACCAGCCAGUACACGCACCAUGUUGUUACCACUGAUCAUGGCAGGGAUAGCACCUCCUGGGUUACCUCAUUAGGCUGGCAUUGUCUGCCCUUCUAAUAGGAAUACAAGAUGGUCCAUGAGCUCUACCUCACCCUGAUGAACCAAUCUCCUCUCUGAGGAGCUUCAGGGCCUGGACUUGGAAAUGGUAUUGGGAGGGCAGGUGGCCUCGAUGAUUCCACACUAAGCCAGCAUCUCUUCCCACGAUCUUACCUGUCCUGUAUGCUUGCAGACAUAAAGAAAUGUGGGCACUACAUUAGACCUUUCAAGCUCCACACCACUAUCUAUGACCCCUGUACCCUAAAACAAGGGCUUUGGCCAGGUGUGCUGACUGUAGCAUCAAGAACGCCAUCUUAAACCCACAGCACAGCGCCUUAGGCUUGUUGGGAGCAGAGUAAACAACAGGGCAGCUUUCUCUUGCUCUGUGGCCUCCCCUGAGUAUCUUCUCUUUUUUCACUCACCAUGUGACAUCACUCACCAUGUGACAUCACUCACCAUGUGACAUCACUCACCAUGUGACAUCACUCAUUGCGUGACAUCACUCACCAUGUGACAUCACUCACCAUGUGACAUCACUCAUUACGUGACAUCACUCACCAUGUGACAUCACCCAUCAUGUGACAUCACUCAUCACGUGACAUCACUCACCAUGUGACGUCACUCAUCAUGUGACGUCACUCAUCAUGUGACAUCACUCAUCACGUGACAUCACUCACCAUGUGACAUCACUCAUCGUGCGACAUCACUAAUCAUGUGACAUCACUCAUCAUGCGACAUCACUAAUCAUGUGACAUCACUCAUCAUGCGACAUCACUCACCAUGUGACAUCACUCACCAUGCGACAUCACUCACCAUGUGACAUCACUCACCAUGCGACAUCACUAAUCAUGUGACAUCACUCACCAUGUGACAUCACUCACCAUGUGACAUCACUCAUCAUGUGACAUCACUCACCAUGUGACAUCACUCAUCAGGUGACAUCACUAAUCAUGUGACAUCACUCAUCAGGUGACAUCACUCACCAUGUGACAUCACUCACCAUGUGACAUCACUCACCAUGUGACAUCACCCAUCAUGUGACAUCACUCACCAUGUGACAUCACUCACCAUGUGACAUCACUCAUCAUGUGACAUCACUCACCAUGUGACAUCACUCAUCACGUGACAUCACUCACCAUGUGACAUCACUCAUCACAUGACAUCACUCACCAUGUGACACCACUCAUCAUGCGACAUCACUAAUCAUGUGACAUCACUCACCAUGUGACAUCACUCAUCAGGUGACAUCACUCAUCACAUGACAUCACUCAUCAGGUGACAUCACUCACCAUGUGACAUCACUCACCAUGUGACAUCACUCAUCAUGUGACAUCACUCAUCAUGUGACGUGAAUGUUCUCCCCACACUCACUGCCGGGUGUCCACGCCACAGUCACACAACCCCAUGUACCCUCUGUACACAAGAGCAGACCCAGGAGGUAAGGGAGUGAAGAGGAAGAAGAGGAUGUGAAGGAAGAGACAAGGCCUGGUCCAGCUCUUCCGUUGGCUGGAGCUCCCUUACGCUUCCCUGAUCCUGCUCCUUCCCUUCAGGUUACCUAAGAACAACUACAAACCUGAGCACUGUGUUUAGAUAUACAGUGAUAAUGGUCACUGGUCACUUCAGAGUGACAGGGGCACAUCCAACAGGCUCCAGAGCACCAGAUUACAAUCAAAGCAUUGGACAACGGACAUUUGUGUGCCAUCACCCAUGUCAUGCCAGAUGACACCAUCGGUUAUGACGUCAUCUCACGUGAUGCUACCUCCCCUGAUAUCACCGUUUGUGGUGCCGUACCAUUUGAUACCAUCUCUGUGACAGCAUCCUGUGUCAUAUUGUCUUGUCUCAUGUGACGUUGCUUCCAUGUUUGGUGCUGUUUCGUGCGAUGUCAUCCUGUAUGACAUGACUAGUUAUUUCUGUGGGGUUCAGACCGUCCUCAGGGUGACUGUAGGAUUUCCCUGUACCCCGAUGUAUGCCUCCCCACUUAGUAACAUUUGUGAAUGAUUUGGUCGCCACUCAAAGACCUAAAGAAAUUAUUUUUUUAUUACAUUAAAAAAUUUUAGUGUGUGUGUGUGUGUGUGUGUGUGUGUGCGUGUGUGUGUGCUCACGCGUGCGCACACAUGUAUGUAUGCCAAGCCACAUAUGUGGAGGUCAGAGGACAACUUGUGGAAGUUAUGCUACUUGGUUCUCCACAAUGUGCAUCCUGAGGAUUUGAACUCAGGGCUUGGCAGAGGUGACUUUACCCAUUAAGCCAUGUCACUGACUUGGAAAGUCUUUUUUUUUUUUUUUUCCGUUUUUGCAUCUGAAGGAAUGUUAAUUCCAGGUGUGCUUUGAUGAUAACAUUGUAUUUGAUUGCUGUUACAAUAGCAACAAUGUACUGGUUAGUUUUUAUCAACUUGAUACAAACCAGAGUCACUUGAAAAACAGAGAAACUAUAGAAUUUCUACGGGACAUUUUCUUUUUAAAGAUUUAUUUAUUUUGUUUUGCGUAGUGAGUGUUUGCCCACACACAUGUUAUUUGAAAGGUCUAAAAGAAGGGAUUAGAACCCCUGGAAUGGGCUGUGCACUGCCACACAGGUGCUGAGAACUGAACCUGGGUCCUUGGUCAAGAGCACCAACUGCUCUUAAACCACUGAACCAUCUCGCCAGCCCAAGUGAGGCAGCUUCUUGAUUGCUAAUCGCCAGGCCAUGGUGGGCAGGGCUCUCCUCAUCAGGCAGUCCUGGCUGUGUGGGAAAGCUCACUGAGUGUGAGCUGGUGGGUGCAAGCUGGUAAGCAACUUUCCUCCACGGUUUCUGCUUUGAGCUUCUGCCCUGGCUUCCCUGAUAAGCUGUACUGGUGGCUGAAAUAAGCCCUUUACUCCCCAAGUUGCUUUUGGUCAGAGUGUUGUGUUUUUGUUUCUUUGUUUUUUUGAGGGGGGUUGUUCUUUGUUCAUUUGGUUGGUUGGGUUUUGUUGUUGUUCUUUAAUCAUAGCAAAGAAAGCCAGCUGGAACAAGCAAUGAGUCACUCUUUUAAAAGACCACAGUGGGGGUCCCCAUUGGAGGAGUUCGAGAAAGGAUCGAAGGAGCUGAAGGAACUUGCAACCCCAUAAGAACAACAAUACCAACCAACCAGAGCUCCCAGGGACUAAGCCACCACCCAAAGACUACACAUGGACAGACCCAUGGCUCCGGAUGCAUAUGUAGCAGAGGAUGGCCUUGUUGGGCACCAAUGGGAGGAGAAGCCCUUAGUCCUGCCAAGGCUGGAUCCCCCCAGUGCAGCGGAAUGUCAGGGUGGGGAGGUGAGGAGUGGGUGGUUGUGGGGGGACACCCUUAUAGAAGAAGGGGGAGGGAGAAUGUCCUAGGGGGUUUAUGGAUGGGAAACCAGGAAAGGGGAUAACAUUUGAAAUGUAAAUAAAAAAUCUAAUAAUAAUAAGAAGAAGAAGAAGAAGAGGAGGAGGAGGAAGAGGAGGAAGAGGAAGGAGGAGGAGAAGAAGAAGAGGAAGAGGGGGAAGAGGAAGGAGGAGGAGGAGAAGAAGAAGGAGAAGAAGAAGAAGAAGAAGAAGAAGAAGAAGAAGAAGAAGAAGAAGAAGAAGAAGAAGAAGAAGAAGAAGAAGAAGACAAUGACAGUGUUUAAGAAAACCAGAAUGAUUUCCAUGAAACCCAAGGCAGGAGCUCUUUGACUCUUUUUGUUAUUUUGUCUUUUUUUUUUCCAGAGCUGAGGACAGACAGGGCCUUGCACUUGCCAGGCAAGCUCUACCACUGAGCUAAAUCCCCAGCCCCACUCUUUGGCUCUUUAAGGAAACAGCAUCACCAAUGGGUUUAAUAUGAGGACUGGCCUGGUGGGCCAUGGACACAGCCUCAAGAGCACAUGUUGAUGGAUUAAUAAUGGCUGAGCUCUGGUUAAAUGCACUGAAGAGGUUUUUCUAAUGGGAAGAACUGAGGGGUAGGCUUUCAGCAGGCAUCUUUGAGGAGUGUAAACCAUGGUCAGUCAGGAGGAUCUGCUGAUUGGGAUCAUAAGCCCCCAGGCAGCCUAUGGCUACAGAUCUUGGACAAGCCAGGGCCUUGCCUGUUCCUACAAUGCCUCUUGAAGAAUCAGCAACAGCAGCGAUGGUUGUCUACUGGGCAGUUUCGGUACCUUGAUUCUGACAAGCACUGCUACCACAGCGGUCCCUUGGAUAUGAAUUUAGUUUGAGCAUCUGAGUAGCUGAGGCUUGGACAACCCAAUGAGCUACCCACAGCUCACAGGCAGGAGGAACAACUCCUCGAUGGAGAGUCCAGCCGCCAUCAGCGGGAGCACGAGGAAAGCCUUUGUUCAGAUUGGCCAAGGGUUGGUCAUCUGCCUUCUUGUUUCCUCUUCUAGCAAAUGGUAAUCAAGACCCCCUCCUCACCAUGCCAGGCCCUGUGUCGCCUGCUGUGACUAAUUUGGCCACCAAACAGUAGGCUGUGUGACCUUAAGGGCUUGGCUAACAACAGGUCAGUAUGCGGAUUUUGAAAAUGUUUAUUUUAAGAGCAGUUGUGCGGCUAGACAGGCAGAGUUCUGAGAGAGAAAAGGACCCCGUGGCAGGAGGGUAGCGCUUAAGCUUGGAUUGUGACCCGGCUUAAUUGUCCUGUAUUUGCAGUGGAGCGGCUGGAAAAUUCCUUAUCCCUCAACACCUACAAGCCAGAGAUUACUAGGACCAAAAAUAAAAAGACGCCCCACAGCUUUCCAAACAGGUACAACCUUGAUUGAAGGCUCCCCCGAGACUCCCCCAGUGUGCCUGGCAGGAACUCCGAGAAGACAGCCGCAAUUACAGAAGCAUUUGCUAGCGAGAGGAAAGAAAAAAAAUCAAAUGCUGCUGGCUUUAAAAUGCUCUUGUCAGAUUGGAUUCGAGCCAAGUUAUAAAUGUGUGGAUUUGGAUUUUAGAAGGAAAUUCAGCAGCCCAGGGCUGCAAGAGUAAAAGCCAGUCCCACAGAAGGGAGAGUGUGGAUAUCAACAGGGAGAGGACGUCUUUCCAGAUAUAACGAGUACACACACCCGGCCUUGAAACACGAGGGAGAGUCUUCUCAAUGGGAGACAGGUCCAGAAACUGCACCUCCCCACCAGAGACAGACCCGGCCAGCCCAGAGCAGCUGCUGUUACUCACAGAGGCCUCUGGUUUCCUUCAAGGUAGAACAGGAGUUUGUCCCCAGCUGAGGUACUGUCCUACCUCUUACACUCCAGCAGAGGACAAGGCUGCUCCCACCCCAGCCACAUGGAGGGGUGAGCCUGGUGUGCGGGCCUGGAUUCUUCCCAGCACAGGAGCUCAGCUGUCAUUGCUGCUGCCUGCUCUCCACACAGCUACACAGCAGCACCGUGGAGAAGGGGCUACCUCUGGAGAGAAAAAGUCAGAGACCAAGCAGCCCAAUACUUAGGACAGUGGUUCUCAACCUGUGGGUCUUGACCCCUUUGGGUCAAAUGACCCUUUCACAGGGGUCGCCAAAUACCAUUCUGCAUAUCCAAUGCUUACAUUCUAAUUCAAAAUGGCAGGAAAAUUACAGUCAUGAAGUCGAAAUAAAAAUAAUUUUAUGACUACAAAGCUUCUGAAAGGCAAAGGACACUGUUGUUAAGACAAAACGGCAAUGAACAGAUUGGGAAAAGAUCUUUACCAAUCCUACAACUGAUAGAGGGCUUAUAUCCAAAAUACACAAAGAACACAAGAAGUUAGACUGCACAGAGACAAAUAACCCUAUUAAAAAUGGGGUUCAGAGCUAAACAAAGAAUUCACAGCUGAGGAAUGCUGUAUGGCUGAGAAGCACCUAAAGAAAUGUUCAACAUCUUUAGUCAUAAGGGAAAUGCAAAUCAAAACAACCCUGAGAUUUCACCUCACACCAGUGAGAAUGGCUAAGAUCAAAAACUCAGGGGACAGCAGAUGCUGGCGAGGAUGCGGAGAAAGAGGAACACUCCUCCAUUGUUGGUGGGAUUGCAGACUGUACAACCAUUCUGGAAAUCAGUCUGGGGGUUCCUCAGAAAAUUGGACAUUGAACUACCUGAGGACCCAGCUAUACCUCUCUUGGGCAUAUACCCAAAAGAUGCCCCAACAUAUAACAAAGACACGUGCUCCACUAUGUUCAUCGCAGCCUUAUUUAUAAUAGCCAGAAGCUGGAAAGAACCCAGAUGCCCUUCAACAGAGGAAUGGAUACAGAAAAUGUGGUACAUCUACACAAUGGAAUAUUACUCAGCUAUCAAAAACAAUGACUUUAUGAAAUUCAUAGGCAAAUGGAGGGAACUGGAAAAUAUCAUCCUGAGUGAGGUAACCCAAUCACAGAAAAACACACAUGGUAUGUACUCAUUGAUAAGUGGAUAUUAGCCCAAAUGCUCGAAUUACCCUAGAUGCACAGAACACAUGAAACUCAAGAAGGAUGACCAAAAUGUGAAUGCUUCACUCCUUCUUUAAAAGGGGAACAAGAAUACCCUUGACAGGGAAUAGGGAGGCAAAGUUUAGAACAGAGGCUGAAGGAACACCCAUUCAGAGCCUGCCCCACAUGUGGCCCAUACAUAUACAGCCACCAAACUAGGUAAGAUGGAUAAAGCAAAGAAGUGCAGGCUGACAGGAACCGGAUGUAGAUCGCUCCUGACACACACAGCCAGAAUACAGCAAAUACAGAGGUGAAUGCCAGCAGCAAACCACUGAACUGAGAAUAGGACCCCCGUUGAAGGAAUCAGAGAAAGAACUGGAAGAGCUUGAAGGGGCUCGAGACCCCAUAUGUACAACAAUGCCAACCAACCAGAGCUUCCAGGGACUAAGCCACUACCUAAAGACUAUACAUGGACUGACCCUGGACUCUGACCUCAUAGGUAGCAAUGAAUAUCCUAGUAAGAGCACCAGUGGAAGGGGAAGCCCUGGGUCCUGCUAAGACUGAACCCCCAGUGAACAUGAUUGUUGGGGGGAGGGUGGUAAUGGAGGGAGGAUGAGGAGGGAAACACCCAUAUAGAAGAGGAGGGGGAGGGGUUAGGGGAAUGUUGGCCCGGAAACCCGGAAAGGGAAUAACAAUUGAAAUGUAAAUAAGAAACACCCAAUUUAAUAAAGAUGGAGAAAAAAAUAAUUUUAUGGUUGGGGGUCACCACAACAUGAGGAACUGUAUUAAAGGGUAGCAGCCUUAGGACGGCUGGGAGACACUGCUCUAGGAGGUUUGGAGAGAGUGGCUGAGCAGGGGUUUGGCACGUGGCAGGGAGAGAGGCAUGGUUUCGCUUGCCAGAGCCCUUUGCUAUAUUUUGGUGCCAGGCAUCCACGAGGGAUGUUGCCCUCCCAGUUCUGGAAGCAAAGACGUUUGCCGGUUUAUUGGCCCAAGGUGACGGCCAAGAAUGGGUGCCAGAGGGCAGUAAGCCUUGGGAUUGAGAGCAGCUGUCUUAAAAGUGUCGCCAACACAGGACAAGGCUGCGAUGGCAAAUUCUCACUAUCUGCAGAGGCCUGGAGACCCCGUGCCUGUGGGAUGUGACGCGUGGGGGAUCACCCUCCUUAGCUGUUCUUAGCUGUUUACCAUCAUGGAAUUAACCAAGUACUGUGGGGCGUUUUGUUCAUAGCGUGAUUCCUUACGGUUUAUUUAACACACAUACCCACACAUGCAUGUGCAGGUCAGGGAAAUUCCAGAGAACCUUCAUCGAAUUCAAUAGGAAGAAAGCUAUCCCGGUAGAUGGAUGCAAGCUCACAGGUCUCUGUGAGGAACAGUGGAUCCACCAGCACUGCCCGUGGGCUGUGGAAGCUUGGGGACACCUUCCUGAAUCCUCAAUUGCAGGCCUUUAGCCGGUUUCGCUCCUUGCAACGUGGUCUGGCUACUCCUGUGGACAGCGUUAGGAAUGCAGGCUGAGUCCCAGCCCCGCCCCCUCCAUCCCCUCCCCCACCCCUAACCCGGGAUCAGGAUCUCUGGCUGAUUCCAAACAAUAAAGGUGUGAGGAGCUUGAGCUCAGGGUCUCCGAGGGCUCAUCUGACUGUGGGUUCGUUUUAUUUUUGAGAAAGGAGGGGCGGGCUCUUCAAAGGCCAUAAAGGGACCUCGCAAAGCUCCACGGAGUGGUUCUGGUCAGUGAGCAGAGGAUUGUUACUAUUGGAUGCUAGCUCAGAGGGAUACACAAGCGGCUAGGGCAGGCGCGGUCAGAGUGUUGGAGGCUCUCCCGAGUCAGAGAGCUAUUAUUAUUAAAACUGAGCACUCAUAAACUUCCAAUUAAAUAUAUUAAGAACAAAACUCAUCGAUUCCUAAUUACUCCUCUAAGCCUUCUGAACGUAGCUACACUCCAGGAGGUCACUGAACAGUCGCACCGGUGUAUGGAAGCUAUGGAGUAUGAACGAGGUUGGCUGCAGGACUCACGGGCGCCACCAGGCAUGUGAGGUGCUGCCCAACAAUGUUUGGUGAAGGAGUCUUGUGCAUACAUACAUCUCGCCACACACACCUACCUCCGAUAUGAGCAGUGACCAGCCACCCUGUGUUUUCUCUGCAUCCAUGGGAUAUGCUUCUAGACAGACCUGCUACAGGCCUGGUGUACUGGCUGGUUCUGUGUGUCAACUUGACCCAAGCUGGACUUAUCACAGAGGAAGGAGCGUCCCUUGAGGAAAUGCCUCCAUGAGACCCAGCUGUAAGGCAUUUUCUCAAUUAGUGAUCAAGGGUGGGAGAACCCAGACCAUUAUGGGUGGUGCCAUCCCUGGGCUGGUGGUCUUGGGUUCUAUAAGAGAGCAAGCUGAGCAAGCCAGGGGAAGCAAGCCAGUAAAUAACAUCCCUCCAUGGCCUCUGCAUCAGCUCCUGCUUCCUGACCUGCUUGAGUUCCAGUCCUGACUUCCUUUGGUGAUGAACAACAAUGUGAAAGUGUAAGCUGAAUAAACUCUUUCCUCCCCAACUUGCUUCUUGGUCCUGAUGUUUGUGCAGGAAUAGGAAGCCUGACUAAGACACCUGGGGAAGAGAGAAAAGCUCUCCUUUUAUUGCUGAAGUCCCCAACCAUGGCGUGGGCACCUUACACAACCAAGAAUGUCCUCGAAAUGUUCAAGAGGGUCAUGAGUACUUGGGAGAGUGUGUGGAUGGCCACAGUAGAGCAAUUCAGAGGUCACAGGGACAGGUCGACCUUAUGGCCUGAGCUCUACAGGUAGGAUAGCAUCUGGCAUGGGACCCUCAGCUGUCUCCGUUACAUGUCCCCACUUCCUAUCAGUGCCACAUACUCUCAACUCCAUGGGUGAAUAUAAAUGUCAUGUUUCCAUCUUCAAUAGACCAUGUAAGACGACUUCCUCAUGUCUAGCAUGCCAAUGGCAAAGGAAACAAUUGGCUGCUUGUGAUGGUUUGCAUAUGCUUGGCCCAGGGAGUGGCACUAUUAGAAGGUGUGGCCUUGUUGGAGGGAAGUGUGUCACUAUUGGGGUGGGCUUGAAGACCCUCCUCCUGGCUGCCUGAGGAUGCUCAGUCUGUUCCUGGCUUCCUUCGGGUGAGGAUGUAGAACUCAGCUCCUCCUGCACCAUGCCUGCCUGGAUGCUGCAAUGCUGCCGUGCUCCUGCCUUGAUAAUGGACUGAACCUCUGAACCUGUAAGCCAGCCCCAAUUAAAUGUUGUCCUUUAUAAGAGUUGCCUUGGUCACGGUGUCUGUUCACAGCAAGAGGACCCUAACUAAGACACUGCUUGGAUCCACGAGGACAGACCUGCUCACAAGGACAGUGGGCUUCCCACACCGAGGGCUGAGUGCUUCUGAAGCAGAGAAGCCAGGCUCGGGGGGGUAUCCUCCCGUGUACCUGCUGGUGGGCGAGCCUGUUCACUCAUCCUUUACCUGAAAGCUCCUCAGGCUGUGUGAGUGAAGCAUCCUCAGAGAGCUCAUUCCGCUUGCCCUGUGCCCCUCGGUGUCGAGCAAAGCUAGUCCCAUCAGAACUCUUGACACGGCACAGUAAGCAUCAUGGCCCAUCCCUGGGUUGUUAGAAGCCAUGUCCUACAAGUCCCGUGCCUGGACUGACCUGGUUUCACUGGCAGCUGCAGCUCCUAGGAAGGACGCAUCCUGGAGCCCAGCAGCUCCGAGAGCACCCAGGGACAGAGAGGACCACAGAUCCCACCAGAAGCCAGGGGAGCCUCCUUGCUUUGUACCAGAUAUUAGCCCGAGCCAGCAGGGUGAGGGCAGGGAGUGAAGCCAUGCACAUGGGCUUCUGAGCCUCCCACAUCUCUCAGUGGAAAGAUCAGAAGGAUCUUCUGCCCCCUGAUGUGUGUCUAGGGUCAACUUCGUAACCAGCACUAACUGAACCUGUAUUAAACAUGCUGACGAAUGAGACGGUAGCCUUCUGCAGAAGCCAGAGGCCUGAAUGUAAUCCGGUGUACACCAGCCAUUGAACUUAGAAUGUAUGCAGUGCACAAUGCAUGAAGCCACUGGCUUGGUCUGCCAGUCAGGCUGGAUGAGCAGGGUCUAUCUAACACAGUGAAAUCCUAGCUGAAGCAGGAAAUGCCUGGGGCUAACACCGGGGUUGCUGAGCACUGGGAUGCAGGCUUCACGCAACUCUACCUUUUUUCUAUCAUUGCUUUUGAACUGGAACCCGUGUGUGUGCCAGCGAGUGCUUGCCUGGCUAUCCCCCGGGGCCUCUGGCUCUGGGUGUCCUGAAGUGGACUCUCUUUCCUCGGUAAAGAGCAAACUCGAGGCUUUUCUCCCUUGGGGUCUCCUCUGACUUCCAAGGUCGGGUUGUACAUCGUGGAGGGGAGAGACUCCGUUUUUUUCUGACUCCAGAUCACGAAGGUAUUGUAGCAUCCGCACUACCCCUAGGGGAAUCACAUCUCCAUCAAACCGUGUAUUUACACCGGCAGAAAGUUUCUCCUUCCUGGGUGGGCAUGCUUACGGUCAAAGACCAGACAACAGACAACUAUCACUGAGGAAACAAACUGGGAUCUUCUGUCGAAGGGUUAAGACGUCCGUGGGCUUGGUUCUAUUUUAUUCUGCCCUGGAAGAAGUGGGGCAAACAGAAAAAGAGGCAGUUUCUAUGCAGAAACGCAAAGGUGCUUGAGUUGGAUACGGCCGUUCCUGAUGCUCACCUCAGACUCUCUCUGUCUUUUUAGCUCUAGUCAUAAGGUAAGAGCGUCUCUUGGCUUAAACUAAGUACUGUUGGGUCCUGGUUCAUCAUCUGGUGUCCUUCCUCUGAGGGUGAACAGCUGGGCACGCUUGUGGAGUUAGCAUUUGACACUAUAUUCAAAUCAUUUCUUUUGUCCCCAGCUCUCCACUCUGGCUCUCGAGUUUCUCUGGCUCUUAGCACGGUGCCCAGGAGUAAUCAUAUUUUCUGAGUGUGCGGAACUCCGUGUUGGCACACACAUCUCCCUGUGGAGGUCGUGGAUCUGUGUGUCCAGAGAAGGUAAGAGAGCUCUGAUGUGACAACAGCCACCUCAAUACCCUUCCAGCCGUAUUCAGUCCAAAUCCCAGGCCUUGGCUAUGGUUCUGUCGUCACUGUGGGAUGCCUCCAGUGGAGCUGAGGGUGCAGCCUCUCUUGAGCAGCAUUUUUUUUUCUCCUGCUCUCAGCACUGACUUCCUGUAGAGGCCCAUGCAAUUCAGGGCUAAUCCAUGCUGCCACGCUGGUUGGCAGGCAUGGACUCCACUUCCCAGAAGAAGAGCCUAGUGCCAGCUGCAAGUGGUGGGAAGUGGACCUGUUAUCCACACUGGGGGAUUCUGGGUCUUGUAGUCUGGUGUGGUGGCCAUGGGUAUUUGUACCCCAGGAUUUAUCCAGUGAACUGGGACACUUCAGAAGUUGUGGGUCACGGUGAGAAGGAGGUCCGUGGGACUACACAUGCUGUGCUACUUAGAGGGGGUGUUGCCCCCCAGCCCACCAUCGAUUGUCUUCAAAGCUGGACAUUGUGUUUCACAUUAUUUCCACUGCGUACGUACAACCAGAGGCCUACCCGCCGCCUGCAAGGAUAAAGGACUGGCAUUGCGUUGACCUCAACACUGUGGGAGAGGACUAAUCCAUGUGGAUAAAGUAACAGAUCAUUUAGAUGCCGCUGGUGGGCAUGGCUGGAUCCAGCGAACGCUUUUUCUCAAAAUGCACAAAUGUGUUUAUGAAGGAAUAAAUGCAAACGAAAGGC